GGACAAAGACUGACGCUCAGGUGCGAAAGCGUGGGGAGCAAACAGGAUUAGAUACNNGGUAGNCCACGCUGUAAACGAUGUCGACUUGGAGGUUGUGCCCUNGAGGCGUGGCUUCCGGAGCUAACGCGUUAAGUCGACCGCCUGGGGAGUACGGCCGCAAGGUUAAAACUCAAAUGAAUUGACGGGGGCCCGCACAAGCGGUGGAGCAUGUGGUUUAAUUCGAUGCAACGCGAAGAACCUUACCUACUCUUGACAUCCACGGAAUUUGGCAGAGAUGCCUUAGUGCCUUCGGGAACCGUGAGACAGGUGCUGCAUGGCUGUCGUCAGCUCGUGUUGUGAAAUGUUGGGUUAAGUCCCGCAACGAGCGCAACCCUUAUCCUUUGUUGCCAGCACUUCGGGUGGGAACUCAAAGGAGACUGCCGGUGAUAAACCGGAGGAGGGUGGGGAUGACGUCAAGUCAUCAUGGCCCUUACGAGUAGGGCUACACACGUGCUACAAUGGCGUAUACAAAGAGAAGCAAACUCGCGAGAGCCAGCGGACCUCAUAAAGUACGUCGUAGUCCGGAUUGGAGUCUGCAACUCGACUCCAUGAAGUCGGAAUCGCUAGUAAUCGUAGAUCAGAAUGCUACGGUGAAUACGUUCCCGGGCCUUGUACACACCGCCCGUCACACCAUGGGAGUGGGUUGCAAAAGAAGUAGGUAGCUUAACCUUCGGGAGGGCGCUUACCACUUUGUGAUUCAUGACUGGGGUG
Molecule: ribosomal RNA, 750 nt
Filed under: uncultured prokaryote
Description: bacterial SSU rRNA
Rfam family: Bacterial small subunit ribosomal RNA
Source: RNAcentral